Molecule: long non-coding RNA, 911 nt
Organism: Arachis stenosperma
Lineage: Eukaryota; Viridiplantae; Streptophyta; Magnoliopsida; Fabales; Fabaceae
Exons: 2
Source: RefSeq, a predicted model, not a curated record
CCCUAGCCGCACAUAUGCUUCCCUGAAUUCCUGCUUCAGAGACAGAGUGAGAGGCUCGUGAUCUCGUCUCCUCUCCUCUCCUCUCCACUCCUCCUCAAAGCCCAAGCCAUUAGUCCCUCUCCUUCUCAAACACCGCUGACCGCCGAUUGCCGACCGCCGACCACCGCCUCCCACCUUCUGGGUCCCUCAGCGUUGGAGUCUCGUCUCGUCUCCUCUCCACUCCUCCUCAAAGUUCAAACCCUCAGCCCCUUCUGUCUCCUUCCCAAACACCGCCGACCGCCGACCGCCGCCUCCCACGACCCAGCGCCGCCUCCCACCUCCUGAGUGGCUCGGUCUCUCACUGGUGGUCCCGAGCUCACCGUCGCCGGUCGUCGUCUUCUCCUCUUCACCGUUCGUCCGCCAAAUCGCCGGUUUUCACUAUGGUUUCUGCGUCGAGGGAUCCAAGGACUGAGGAGGAACAUAAUAUUUUUACUUGGAUUACAAAAGUUGGGCAAAGGUGAUUGGCGUGGAAUUGCAAGGAACUAUGUUAUAUCAAGGACCUCUACUCAAGUGGCCAGUCACGCUCAAAAGUAUUUUAUCAGGCAAAACAAUGUGUCUAAACGAAAAAGAUGCUCCAGCUUGUUUGACAUUGUUGCAGAUGAAGUUUUUACUCUUGUCUGCAAUUACUAUCCAUGAAAUAAUUGUUUUUUUUAUUUUAUUUUGCAUCAAAUGAACAUUUCUGCCACAUAAUCUACUCAUGUUCAUUGAUAAAAUUACCCAAUUGUUUUUAUUUCUUUAAUAUUGUUAAUAUCUUUGUUGUUGUUAAUGUUGUUAAUGUCUUUGGAGAUAAGGAACAUGUUAAUGUCUUUGUUGUUAAUGCUUUGGAGACAAGGAACAUGAUGAUUGAUAUGGUUUUUUCAUUUUUUCCCCAA